Molecule: long non-coding RNA, 1232 nt
Filed under: Sinocyclocheilus grahami
Lineage: Eukaryota; Metazoa; Chordata; Actinopteri; Cypriniformes; Cyprinidae
Description: lncRNA (ENSSGRG00000027043.1)
Source: RNAcentral
AAACAUUUAAAAAAAAAAACCUGCCCCCGCAAACCAACCUUUUCUCGAUGUUUGCAGGCAGCUAAAAAACUAGCGCCUCUGAAGAAAAAGGCACCUCCACCUCCCAAAGAAGUGGAAGAAGAAUCCAGCGAGGAGGAGAGUGAGGAUGAGGAGGAAGAGGUGAGGAAUCGAUCUGUAAAUAACGCGUUUUAAACAUUUAGUUGCUAAUGAAGGAAUUGUUAGACUGAAAUUCAAUCUCAAUUCGGCAGGCGCCACCAGCUAAAGCUGUAGCAAAGAAGAAAGCGGCUCCGGCGAAGGCAGUGAAAAAUGGAAAAGCUGCUGCCAAACAGGAGAGUGACGACGACGACGAUGAAGAAUCUGAAGAGGAAGCUCCUCCCCCAAAGAAGGCAGCACCUGCCAAGAAAGCAGCGCCUGCUGAGGAGUCCGAUGAAGAGGAUGAUGAUGAUGAUGACGAAUCUGAGGAAGAGCUGCCUCCACCACCCAAGAAGGCGACUCCAGCCAAAGCCAUGAAGAAAGCAGCUCCUGCAGCCAAAGCACCUGCUGCGAAGGAGUCUGAGGAGGAUGAUGAUGACGAGGAAGAUGAUGAUGAAGAAGAGGAAAUGGACACGACUCCAGUGCCCAAAAAGGCAGGAAUGGUGAAGGCAAAGGAGGAAUCUGAAGAGGAUGAGGAUGACGACGAAGAGGAUGAUGAUGAUGAUGAUGAUGAAGGUGUGAUAGUGAAGUUCUUUUUAGAUUGUUUUGAUGUUCUGCUGAUCGGAUGCAUUUGGUUUGUUAAAAAUAUUAAGUUGGUGACUGAUUCUUCAGCUCCAAACAGACCCAGAAUGUGAAAAGCGUUCAGAUUUAGAAACGCUUUAUCAGAGAUAAGAAAAUGUUUUAUAAAGUGAGAAAUAGAGAGAAAAAAUUGCAAUAUAAUGAUAGCUGUACAUUUGAUGUGAAGGCAAUUGUAGUUUAGAUAUACAGGUACUGAUAAAAUACACUCUGAAUUUGUUAGAAAUUAAUAUUUAAGUCCCAAAAUGUCAGUUCUUUAGUGUGUGUGUGUGUGUAUGUAUGUAUGUAUGUGUGUGUAUGCAUGCAUGCAUACAUACACGCAUACACAUACCCACCCACCCACAUCUUCCAUGCUCCAAGUAAGCCAAUACUAAUGUAAAGUAAUGCUUUUCUUUCAUGCUACAGGUUUUUUCUUUUCCUUGGCAUUUUCAUCUUCUAUUUAGAUAGUGUAGUGGGAGAGAGAG